This 253-nucleotide ribosomal RNA is filed under the name uncultured bacterium. RNAcentral's name for it is "partial 16S ribosomal RNA". It matches the Rfam family "Bacterial small subunit ribosomal RNA", at positions 524 to 776 of the family's 1533-position model. The record is from RNAcentral.
UACGAAGGGGGCUAGCGUUGCUCGGAAUCACUGGGCGUAAAGCGCACGUAGGCGGCUUUUUAAGUCAGGGGUGAAAUCCUGGAGCUCAACUCCAGAACUGCCUUUGAUACUGAGAAGCUUGAGUCCGGGAGAGGUGAGUGGAACUGCGAGUGUAGAGGUGAAAUUCGUAGAUAUUGGGAAGAACACCGGUGGCGAAGGCGGCGCUCUGGACCGAGACUGACGCUGAGGCGCGAAAGCGUGGGGAGCAAGCAGG